GUAAAAUCAUGGCUGUCCGGUGAAAUCCUUGGUGACUGGAAAAAGGGAAACAUUCCUCCCAUUUUCAAGAAAGGGAGAAAGGAAGGCCUAGGGAACUACAGGCUGGUGAACCUCACCUCUGUGCCUGGGAAGAUCAUGGAGCAGAUCCUCCUGGUUGCCAUGUUAAGGCACAUAUGAGAUGAAUAGGUGAUCCAAGACUGUCAGCAUGACUUCACCAAGGGCAGAUCUUGCCCAACCAAUCUGGUGGCCUUCUAUGAUGGAGUGAUAGCUUCAGUGGAUGGGGGAUGGGAGAAGGAUGUCAUCUACCUGGACUUCUGCAAAGCCUUUGACAUGGUCCCUCACCACAUCCUUCUCUCUAAAUUGGAGAGGUAUGGAUUUGAAGGAUGGACUGUUUGGUGGAUUAAGAACUGAUUGGCCGGUCGCAGCCAAAUGGCUGUGAUCAGUGGAGGGGUGAAGGCCAGUCAUAAGUGGUGUCCCCAAGUCUUGGUCUUGGGACCGGACUCUUCAGCUUCUUUAUCAAUGAGAUAGAUCUGGGACCUGGACAGGAUGGAGAAGUGGGCCCAUGUGAACCUAAUGAGAUUCAACAAGGCCAAGUGCAGGGUGCUGCACUUGGGUCAGGGCAAACCCAGGUAUUUAUACAAGCUGGGUGAAGAUCUCCUUGAGAGCAGCCCUGCAGAGAAGGACUUUGGGGUCCUGGUAGACGAGAAGCUGGACAUGAGCCAGUGUGCGCUUGCAGCCCGGAAGGCCAACUGUUCUGGGCUGCAUUAAAAAAGGGGUGGCCAGCAGGGAGAGGGAGGUGAUUGUCCCCCUCAGCUCUUGUGAAGCCCCAUCUGGAGUACUGUGUCCAGGCCUGGGGCCCCCAGCGCAAGAAAGACACAGGGCUCUUGGAGCAGGUCCAGAGGAGGGCCACUAAGAUGAUCAGAGGGCUGGAGCACCUCUCCUAUGAGGAAAGGUUGAGGGAACUAGGAUUAUUUAGAUUGGAGAAGAGAAGGCUCUGGGGAGACCUCAUUUGUGGCCUUCCAGUAUUUGAAAGGAGCGUAUAAACAGGAGGGGGAAAGACUGAUUAUGUGGUUUGAUAGUGACAGGACAAGGGGGAAUGGUUCUAAACUGAGACAGGGGAGGUUUACGUUAGAUAUUAGGAGGAAGUUUUUCACUCAAAGGGUGGUAAUGCACUGGAACAGGUUGCCCAAGGAGGUUGUGAAUGCCCCAUUCAAGGCCAUUUGAGGUCAGGCUGGAUGUGGCUCUGGGCAGCCUGGUCUAGUGGUUGGCGACCCACACAUAAGCAGGGAGGUUGAAACUCGAUGAUCUUUGAGCUCCUUUUCAACCUAGGCCAUUCUAUGAUUCUAUGAAAACGUGAAUGGCUAGAGUAAAUGAAUCUAAAUGCUUUGACUUUACAAGCAAAGGACUGCAAAUCUUAAACCCAUGACAAUUUCUAUACAUUGUAUAACAUUUUAACAGAUCAAUAUCUGUAAGAUGCCUUGAAUCUUGUAACUCAUUCUAGUUAUUAAUCUUCUCCAAGUUCUAGUUGAUAGGGACACAACAAAGACC
Molecule: long non-coding RNA, 1548 nt
Organism: Gallus gallus (chicken)
Lineage: Eukaryota; Metazoa; Chordata; Aves; Galliformes; Phasianidae
Source: Ensembl